This 72-nucleotide transfer RNA is filed under the name Ictidomys tridecemlineatus (thirteen-lined ground squirrel). Its description in RNAcentral is "Spermophilus tridecemlineatus (thirteen-lined ground squirrel) tRNA". It matches the Rfam family "tRNA". Rfam says of the family: Transfer RNA (tRNA) molecules are approximately 80 nucleotides in length. Their secondary structure includes four short double-helical elements and three loops (D, anti-codon, and T loops). Lineage: Eukaryota; Metazoa; Chordata; Mammalia; Rodentia; Sciuridae. The record is from Rfam by way of RNAcentral.
AGUGAUGUAGCUUAGUGGUAGAAUGUGUGCCUAACAUGCAUGAGGCCCUGGGUUCAAUCCCCAACCCCACCA